Homo sapiens (human) is the source of this 787-nucleotide long non-coding RNA. Ensembl annotates it as long intergenic non-protein coding RNA 2350. Lineage: Eukaryota; Metazoa; Chordata; Mammalia; Primates; Hominidae. The record is from Ensembl.
GUUGUCUUGGGGGCAGCGCCAGCCACCAGAGCCCGAGUCAGCGCGGCCAGGACUCUGCAGGGGCAGGUAGCGACCCUUAGAGACGCAACGUGGCGCAGCGGACUCGGCUGCGUGGGGCAAGGGCCGGGGCCGGACACAGGAGCAGCGGGGAUGCCGGGUGCGCUCCGAGGGUGUGGCCCCCGGGCUGUGCGGGGCUCAGAGCUGCUUGCUGGGCGCGGUGCCCGACAAAGUUAUCCUGGAUCCUAUCUUUGGUACCAAUGUGACCCAUCCUGAGUGAAGGCUCCAUUUCUGGCCUUUGGUCUCUUUCUCGGAAAGCAGGCCUCAGUGGCCUCAGUUUCUUCCCAGAACCUGCAAUGCCCCACCAAGGUGACAAGAAGUGCAAGGAGUCGGUUUUCACUGCCAACCAAAGAGGUGACCCCCGCAAAGCAACCAUGUUGGGACAGUCCAUUUGCUGCGUUUUGAUUAUUUGCUAAGAGCAAAUACCUUUUCUGUUUGGGUUUUGCUUUUAGAAAAAAAAUGUGGCAGAUGGUGGUGGCUUUCCCCGUCAUUGAAAGAAGAAAGGUAGUAACUCUACUGGUGCACUCCUCUGAGUUGUGCUAACAAAGAAGAAUGCUGAAAGAAAAGGGAAAUGAACACCAUUUUCAGGCAGCUUCUCCAAGUUUUUUUGACAGUGUUAUAAUUUUCCUUUAGCGACUGUUGAAGCAAAUAUCUGUAUUUAUGUUCAGAUUAAACCGAGAGAGCAAAGACUGCUAAAGCCAGUAAUUUCUGGGCUGCAAAUGCAGGAUAG